CCGCGGCCGCUGUUUGUUAUUAAACUGCCCACAGAAAGGGCUUCGAGUAAAAACAGCAACUUUCCAGUCGGGGCGGCCCAGGUCCCCGGGCCCUGGGAAGUUCUGGGACGGCCGAGGUCUCCCCGGACACCCGCACCCACGCCCCCGUCGUGCCCUUUCUGGCUUUUGGCUUCCUCUCCUCGAUUUCCCUUUUGUGCGGCCCCGGGCAGCUUCCUCAGGCCCCGCUGCCCCCACCUGGCCGCCCUGGGAGCUGUUCCUCCCCCAGCAGCAGGAGCAUCCAGCUCGGGUUUUAUUUCCUCCCGAGACACUCGAGGAAGCCUCAGGGGUAUCAGCCAUGAACCUUGUGAUGGACAGGAAAAGAUAUUGCUUUUCCUCCCCUACAAAUUCCAAAGAAGAACCCUGCCACAGAACUGUCCCAUAGACUGGUAUUGUUCACAGGCCACUUAGAAAGGCCUUCAGAGGACCCACUAGGGUCAGCUUCACUGCAGUUUCCUGGUGGCACUUUGACAGUCUACAAACCAGCUGGAAAGCAAAGACCGUCAUCAUGAAAAGGCCCUGGGCAGCAAACAGAGCCCCGACUUCCAUCUAGAGCUCAGCCUGAAGGAAAGCUCCAGCCAGAGGCUCCAGCCACCGGGUCUCAGAGCUACAGGCACUUUUACACAGGGGUAGACAGAGAUGAGGUGGGAGCUGAUGCAUUAUGCCUGGAAGGUACCAAGAAAAUGAUCAUGGAUAUUUCUAUUUGACACUUUAUUGUGUUUUUCUUUUUAAAAGAUUUGAAAUCGUUCAGGACAAUUUCUUAUUUCUAGCAACAGAGUGAUCUAAACCACUGAUUGCUUGGAAAUCAAGAGAUUCUGUUUAUGGAUCUGAACUUAGGUCUAACAACUCUUUUUCACACUAUCGGCGGGCUUUAGCAGUGCAGUUUCCAGAUAGUAUCUGAAAUUUUAAAAAGGGGAGCGUGGGGAGAGAAAAUAAUUUGGGAGUAAUCUGAGCCUCUCCGAAACGGAUAAGAUCCAAGAAACCUCAGUCUCAAAUGACAUGCAGAGCAAUUUGUACAUUCAUUUACUGACUCCAAAAUGGUCUCAUUCUUACUGAAUCGGUUUUUGUCCUGUUUCUUUUAAAACCUAACGCCCUUAGCUGUUAGCAACAUAUUUUUAAAUGACAUUAGAGUGCCCUUUUCUAAUUGGUAAAAAGCAAUCAUCAUGAGGAUGAGUCAUUCCAGGACCCAGACGUCCCCUCAGUGUCCAGUUUCCUCCAGAAACACUUAGGUACGAAAGUGGGUCAGAAGUGCCCAUCAUCCCAGGCAUAUUCCUUCUUGAAUGUUUAAACCAACAUUGUUUUGUACUUAUAAGGAAUUGUUAUACUAAUCAUUUUUUUGCCAAAUUGGCCAUAAUAUAAUCCACCUACCACUGACCAACUACAGAAGAAAAAUUAAACAAAAGUUUUGCUGUUGUUAUCCUUUUUUUUCCUAGGGGUUGAGCUUCUGAAGCCAGGAGGUCACUUGGAUUAUGUAUACAACCUUAGUAAUUGCAUUCCUACAUUCUACGAAAUGCCACAGGACUCACUACAGUCCAAAAUAGCUGUUGCAAACAAUGACAAUUACUGCCCAGACAUUUUCAAACACAGCAGGUUACUGGCUGAAGCUGUGAUGGAAACCCUAAAAAAAUAUAAAUAUUUUGAAAUGCUCUGUAAAUCAGAAUGAUGCCCCAGACACAGAGUGGAUUGUCUUGAAGAAAACUGAAGUCAUUUGGAGGCUGCGAGGCUUUGUUGAAGGCUGUUGGAAAAUAUUGAACUUGUUAAUAUGAAGCCCAAAUGUCAUAAUUAAAUGAUUUUUAAGUUUUCUU
This is a long non-coding RNA of Gorilla gorilla gorilla (western lowland gorilla), 1841 nucleotides long. RefSeq lists it as uncharacterized. NCBI's taxonomy places the organism in Eukaryota, Metazoa, Chordata, Mammalia, Primates, Hominidae. The transcript is spliced from 3 exons. The record is from RefSeq and is a predicted model, not a curated record.